This 406-nucleotide ribosomal RNA is filed under the name uncultured bacterium. RNAcentral's name for it is "partial 16S ribosomal RNA". It matches the Rfam family "Bacterial small subunit ribosomal RNA", at positions 29 to 526 of the family's 1533-position model. The record is from RNAcentral.
AUUGAACGCUGGCGGCAGGCUUAACACAUGCAAGUCGAGCGAGUGGCGGACGGGUGAGUAAUGUCUGGGAAACUGCCUGAUGGAGGGGGAUAAAUACUGGAAACGGUAGCUAAUACCGCAUACCAUCAGAUGUGCCCAGCGGGGAUUAGCUAGUAGGUGGGGGAAUGGCUCACCUAGGCGACGAUCCCUAGCUGGUCUGAGAGGAUGACCAGCCACACGGGAACUGAGACACGGCCCAGACUCCUACGGGAGGCAGCAGUGGGGAAUAUUGCACAAUGGGCGAAAGCCUGAUGCAGCCAUGCCGCGUGAGUGAAGAAGGCCUUCGGGUUGUAAAGCACUUUCAGUGGGGAGGCGUUACUCGCAGAAGAAGCACCGGGUAACUCCGUGCCAGCAGCCGCGGUAAUAC